Long non-coding RNA from Thalassophryne amazonica, 221 nucleotides. RefSeq lists it as uncharacterized. The record is from RefSeq and is a predicted model, not a curated record. The transcript has 4 exons. Lineage: Eukaryota; Metazoa; Chordata; Actinopteri; Batrachoidiformes; Batrachoididae.
AGAAUUUAAAUGACAUUUUAAGAUUUUUACAGUGGCUUGAAAAAGUAUUCAGCCCCCUUGAACUUUUCUACAUUUUGUCACAUUACAGUCACAAACAUAAAUCUAUUUUGUUGGAAUUCCAUGUGAAAGACCAACACAAAGUGGUUUACAAUUGAGAAGUGGCACGAAAAUCAUACAUGAUCCAAACAUUUUUUAUUAAUAAAUAACUGAAAAGUGGUGUG